RNAcentral lists this non-coding RNA (32 nucleotides) under Rhodosorus marinus. The record is from RNAcentral. Lineage: Eukaryota; Rhodophyta; Stylonematophyceae; Stylonematales; Stylonemataceae.
CUACCGUGUGCUCUGGGAGAAAGUCCCCGGGC